Non-coding RNA from Labrus bergylta (ballan wrasse), 1157 nucleotides. The record is from the annotation of a RefSeq genome assembly. Lineage: Eukaryota; Metazoa; Chordata; Actinopteri; Labriformes; Labridae.
AUGGUGCCAAGAGGAGACACUCAGGCUCUGAUGUGUUCAAUUUAUGAUUUUUUUCCCAAUGAAUUGACGGUAAAAUGGAAGAAAAAUGAAAUAGAAGAAACUGGCUUCACUACUUGGCCCCCCAAAUCAUUCAGGAACACGUUUUCAGCUGUCAGUGUUCUGAAUGUGAAGAACACAGACUGGGACAGUAAAGCCGUGUACACAUGUGAGGUGACACACAAAGGCAAAUUAUAUAUGAAGAAGGCCUCAAAAGCUGCUGUCACAUUGGCCCUUAACCAACCAAGUCCCAAAGAAUUGUUCAACAACAACCAGGCAAAGUUGGACUGUAUCGUUUCUGGACAAGACAGGAGUGUUGUAAACGACAUGAGAAUAACUUGGCAAAUUAAUGAACACAAUGUGUCUGAUGCCAUUACUUCGACGCCAAAUUCCAGAAAUGGUCAACACAGCAAAAUCAGUACGUUGACUCGGAGUCUCUCAGAGUGGCAGACAGUCAACAAAGUGAGAUGUUCUGCCAUGAGAGACAAUAUGACACCAGUAAUUCAAGACCUGACUGUCCAUAAAGGAGAUUGGAAGAAAACAAAAGUGACCGUCCACGUCCUCCCAGAGGAGGAAAUCAGCAAAGGAAACGAGGUCACUCUAGUGUGCCUGGUCUCCAGUCUUGAACAGCAGGAUUACUACAUCGCCUGGUCUGAGUACAUUGGACAAAAGACUGGAAACUAUGUUGAUGGCAUUAACUUCCCACCUCAGAAGACCCAACAAGGCUACUCAGUAACAAGUGUUUACUACACAACCAAGGACAAGUGGAACAACCACAUGUACACGUGCAACGUCUGGCCUGCUGGCAGCAAUAGUUCCAUGAAUCCACAGGCAGUGUCUAAGGCCCAGGGUAACUCCUUAGAAUGUGACAUACAGAAGACUUAGCUCUAAAUGUUGUUUUUUUUAGUGCUCAUGUGUUCUGCUGUCUGUGUUUGCAAACCGUGUGAUGUUAAAACGUGCACCCUGUGAUGUCACCAGUGUCUGUCAUUGUAAAAAACAACAUCCAUGUCUCAAUUUUGUUCUGUUUGUCAUAAAAUGGUGUUUUAAUCUGUCUUUGUCAAGUGCUCUAACAGCCUGAUAUGUGUGCUGAGUGUUUCAAAUAAAUGUUGCAUUGAGAAAAA